Molecule: ribosomal RNA, 326 nt
Filed under: uncultured eukaryote
Lineage: Eukaryota
Description: partial 18S ribosomal RNA
Rfam family: Eukaryotic small subunit ribosomal RNA
Source: RNAcentral
CCCUUAGAUGAUUUGGGCUGCACGCGCGCUACACUGAUGCAUUCAACGAGUCCAACCUUGACCGAGAGGUCCGGGUAAUCUUUGAAACUGCAUCGUGAUGGGGCUAGAUUAUUGCAAUUAUUAAUCUUCAACGAGGAAUGCCUAGUAAGCGUGAUUCAUCAAAUCGCGUUGAUUACGUCCCUGCCCUUUGUACACACCGCCCGUCGCUCCUACCGAUUGAGUGUGUUGGUGAGGAGUUUGGAUUGGCCUCGGAAGGUGGUUCGCCACCGUCCGUAGCUGAGAAGUUCUCCAAACCGCCCCACUUAGAGGAAGGAGAAGUCGUAACA